RNAcentral lists this ribosomal RNA (699 nucleotides) under Candidatus Gigantothauma porcinsulae. RNAcentral describes it as "bacterial SSU rRNA". It matches the Rfam family "Archaeal small subunit ribosomal RNA", at positions 21 to 727 of the family's 1478-position model. The record is from RNAcentral. Lineage: Archaea; Thermoproteati; Nitrososphaerota.
CCUGACUGCUGUCGGAUUGAUGCUAAGCCAUGCGAGUCAUUGUAGCAAUACAAGGCAGACGGCUCAGUAACGCGUAGUCAACCUAACCUAUGGACGGGAAUAACCUCGGGAAACUGAGAAUAAUGCCCGAUAGAACACUAUGCCUGGAAUGGUUUGUGCCCCAAAUGAUUUAUCGCCGUAGGAUGGGACUGCGGCCUAUCAGUUUGUUGGUGAGGUAAUGGCCCACCAAGACUAUUACAGGUACGGGCUCUGAGAGGAGUGGCCCGGAGAUGGGUACAGAGACACGGACCCAGGCCCUAUGGGGCGCAGCAGGCGAGAAAACUUUGCAAUGUGCGAAAGCACGACAAGGUUAAUCCGAGUGGUUUCUGCUAAAGGAACCUUUUGUCGGUCCUAGAAACACCGAUGAAUAAGGGGUGGGCAAGUUCUGGUGUCAGCCGCCGCGGUAAAACCAGCACCUCAAGUGGUCAGGAUGAUUAUUGGGCCUAAAGCAUCCGUAGCCGGCUCUGUAAGUUUUCGGUUAAAUCUGUACGCUCAACGUACAGGCUGCCGGGAAUACUGCAGAGCUAGGGAGUGGGAGAGGUAGACGGUACUCGGUAGGAAGGGGUAAAAUCCUUUGAUCUAUUGAUGACCACCUGUGGCGAAGGCGGUCUACCAGAACACGUCCGACGGUGAGGGAUGAAAGCUGGGGGAGCAAACCGG